GUCGUUACGGGAGAUGGCAUACCUCCACGAACCGCCGCCCGACCGGUGCGGCUGAUGAUGCCUACGGUUCC
This 71-nucleotide non-coding RNA is filed under the name Burkholderia sp. RNAcentral's name for it is "Fluoride sequence". It matches the Rfam family "Fluoride riboswitch aptamer (crcB RNA motif)". The record is from RNAcentral. Lineage: Bacteria; Pseudomonadati; Pseudomonadota; Betaproteobacteria; Burkholderiales; Burkholderiaceae.